UUAAUACUCCCUCCGUCCCGAAAUACUUGUCAUCAAAAUGAACAAAAGGAGAUAUAUCUAGACGUAUUUUAGUUCUAGAUACAUCCCCUUUUAUCCAUUUUGAUGACAAGUAUUUUUGGACGGAGGGAGUAUAUC
Molecule: non-coding RNA, 135 nt
Organism: Triticum aestivum (bread wheat)
Lineage: Eukaryota; Viridiplantae; Streptophyta; Magnoliopsida; Poales; Poaceae
Source: Rfam